This 462-nucleotide ribosomal RNA is filed under the name uncultured bacterium. Its description in RNAcentral is "partial 16S ribosomal RNA". It matches the Rfam family "Bacterial small subunit ribosomal RNA", at positions 28 to 507 of the family's 1533-position model. The record is from RNAcentral.
GACGAACGCUGGCGGCGUGCUUAACACAUGCAAGUCGAGCGGAAAGGCCCUUCGGGGUACUCGAGCGGCGAACGGGUGAGUAACACGUGAGUAACCUGCCCCAGACUUUGGGAUAACCCUCGGAAACGGGGGCUAAUACCGGAUACGACACAGCUUCGCAUGGGGUCUGUGUGGAAAGUUGUUCGGUUGGGGAUGGGCUCGCGGCCUAUCAGCUUGUUGGUGGGGUGGUGGCCUACCAAGGCGACGACGGGUAGCCGGCCUGAGAGGGCGACCGGCCACACUGGGACUGAGACACGGCCCAGACUCCUACGGGAGGCAGCAGUGGGGAAUAUUGCACAAUGGGCGGAAGCCUGAUGCAGCGACGCCGCGUGAGGGAUGACGGCCUUCGGGUUGUAAACCUCUUUCAGCAGGGACGAAGCGUAAGUGACGGUACCUGCAGAAGAAGCGCCGGCCAACUACGUG